UGAACGCUGGCGGUAUGCUUAACACAUGCAAGUCGAACGGCAGCGACUUUGUUUCUUCGGAAACAGAGGGCGGCGAGUGGCGGACGGGUGAGUAAUGCGUAGGAAUCUGCCCUAAAGUGGGGGACAACCCGAGGAAACUCGGGCUAAUACCGCAUAUGUUCUACGGAACAAAGCUGGGGACCUUCGGGCCUGGCGCUUUAGGAUGAGCCUACGUCGGAUUAGCUUGUUGGUGGGGUAAUGGCCUACCAAGGCAACGAUCCGUAGCUGGUCUGAGAGGACGAUCAGCCACACUGGGACUGAGACACGGCCCAGACUCCUACGGGAGGCAGCAGUGGGGAAUAUUGGACAAUGAGCGAAAGCUUGAUCCAGCAAUACCGCGUGUGUGAAGAAGGCCUUCGGGUUGUAAAGCACUUUCAGCAGAAAAGAAAUGCUCAAGGUUAAUAGCCUUGAGAGAUGACCGUUAUCUGAAGAAGAAGCACCGGCUAACUCUGUGCCAGCAGCCGCGGUAAU
RNAcentral lists this ribosomal RNA (510 nucleotides) under uncultured bacterium. RNAcentral describes it as "bacterial SSU rRNA". It matches the Rfam family "Bacterial small subunit ribosomal RNA", at positions 30 to 524 of the family's 1533-position model. The record is from RNAcentral.